GACGAACGCUGGCGGCGUGCUUAACACAUGCAAGUCGAACGGAAAGGCCCUGCUUUUGUGGGGUGCUCGAGUGGCGAAAGGGUGAGUAACACGUGAGUAACCUGCCCUUUACUUUGGGAUAACUUCAGGAAACUGGGGCUAAUACCGGAUAGGAGCUCCUGCUGCAUGGUGGGGGUUGGAGAGUUGCGGCGGUGGGGGAUGGGCUUGUGGCUUAUCAGCUUGCUGGGGGGGUAGGGGCUUACCAAGGCUGUGGCGGGUAGCCGGCCUGAGAGGGUGACCGGGCACAGGGGGACUGAGAUACGGCCCAGACUCCUACGGGAGGCAGCAGUGGGGAAGAUUGCACGAUGGGCGGAAGUCUGAUGCAGCAAGGCCGCGUGCGGGAUGACGGCCUUUGGGUUGUAAACCGCUUUCGCCUGUGACGAAGCGGGAGUGACGGUAAUGGGUAAAGAAGCACCGGCUAACUACGUG
RNAcentral lists this ribosomal RNA (468 nucleotides) under uncultured bacterium. RNAcentral's name for it is "partial 16S ribosomal RNA". It matches the Rfam family "Bacterial small subunit ribosomal RNA", at positions 28 to 507 of the family's 1533-position model. The record is from RNAcentral.